CUAUAUGACCUAGCCUUAGGUGCCACAGAUACCUAUCAUUUAGACUAUCUCUAGGCCUUUUAAUUUUCAUGGCAUUCACAUUUUGCUCGAUAUUAAAUACAGAUACAUCAAUAUGUUGCUGAUAGAAAUCGUUAAUGAGAAAAUCAUUUAUAACUUUAUUAUUUUCAUAAAAUAUGUUACAAUGAUCCUUAUGAAAGCUAAUCACAUAGCCUUCUUGUGCUAAACAUGAAACAGAAAUC
This 239-nucleotide long non-coding RNA is filed under the name Elaeis guineensis (African oil palm). RNAcentral's name for it is "long non-coding RNA (EGUI_LNC012930)". Lineage: Eukaryota; Viridiplantae; Streptophyta; Magnoliopsida; Arecales; Arecaceae. The record is from RNAcentral.